This 217-nucleotide ribosomal RNA is filed under the name Klebsiella pneumoniae. Its description in RNAcentral is "partial 23S ribosomal RNA". It matches the Rfam family "Bacterial large subunit ribosomal RNA", at positions 2340 to 2556 of the family's 2925-position model. The record is from RNAcentral. Lineage: Bacteria; Pseudomonadati; Pseudomonadota; Gammaproteobacteria; Enterobacterales; Enterobacteriaceae.
AGGAGGUUAGUGCAAUGGCAUAAGCUAGCUUGACUGCGAGCGUGACGGCGCGAGCAGGUGCGAAAGCAGGUCAUAGUGAUCCGGUGGUUCUGAAUGGAAGGGCCAUCGCUCAACGGAUAAAAGGUACUCCGGGGAUAACAGGCUGAUACCGCCCAAGAGUUCAUAUCGACGGCGGUGUUUGGCACCUCGAUGUCGGCUCAUCACAUCCUGGGGCUGA